Molecule: long non-coding RNA, 574 nt
Filed under: Citrus x clementina
Lineage: Eukaryota; Viridiplantae; Streptophyta; Magnoliopsida; Sapindales; Rutaceae
Description: Citrus clementina (C. clementina) long non-coding RNA (CCLE_LNC001732)
Source: RNAcentral
GACAAAAUUCUGAUUCAUGGUAUCUAAUUACAGAUGGGGAUAUGAAUAUUGGAUAUAUGCAAUUAAAGGUUCAAAGAAUAAAAGAUCAAUUGAAUGGAAUCAGCCGCCGUAGUUUCAAAUUUUAGCCUAUUUUGUCUGCAUGCAUCAAAAUGCGGCCUCUAUUAUCCUUCUGGUUCCAAUUCAGAAUCUGUACACAUGUACACAAUUCGACUCAAAAUCAUCGCUUGAUUGAUUGGUAUCAAGAUCCGAAGUUUGAUGGUGAUGCGUUGUAUUUAUUUACGUUACCGAAUAAGGAAUUUGUUUUUUUGGGAGUGCUGACACAUAUUGCAUUGGAAAUAUUUGAAUUCCUACUAAAUUCACCGAGCGGUAGAUCACUUCUACACCUUAUUAUCAAGGCGGAGGGUUUGUGUUUGUGCUUCAACUAUAUGCUACAUUGAGACUAAGAGGUUGUUUGUUAAAUGUUUGAAGCUUGAAAUUUUAUUAAUUUCAAGAUUUUUUAAAAUUUAUUUGUUUAUUUUUUGUAACUUAUUUCGACUUUCAAACAUUUACAUCUGAAUAGAAAAAGUAGACUUUU